This 185-nucleotide small RNA is filed under the name Arabidopsis thaliana (thale cress). RNAcentral's name for it is "ATSL062730". The record is from RNAcentral. Lineage: Eukaryota; Viridiplantae; Streptophyta; Magnoliopsida; Brassicales; Brassicaceae.
UUUUUGAUAAAUCCUAUCGACUAAUCCGGUCAGCCUCGGUAGAAACGCACCGAAGUACUUCAGAGUAGACUUCUCCCCGAAAGACCACACUGUCUGUCUCGAGUUUGGAAUUCUUAGUAGAGAGUUUAAUAGGGCACAUCUUAGAGAUGGUGACAAGGAAAAGUUUACUCUUAAAAAUGUUCAUA